GAUCCUGGCUCAGGAUGAACGCUAGCUACAGGCUUAACACAUGCAAGUCGAGUGGCAACAUUUUAGUUUGCUUGCAAACUAAAGAUGGCGACCGGCGCACGGGUGAGUAACACGUAUCCAACCUGCCGAUAACUCGGGGAUAGCCUUUCGAAAGAAAGAUUAAUAUCCGAUGGUAUAUUAAAACCGCAUGGUUUUACUAUUAAAGAAUUUCGGUCAUCGAUGGGGAUGCGUUCCAUUAGGUUGUUGGCGGGGUAACGG
This 258-nucleotide ribosomal RNA is filed under the name uncultured bacterium. RNAcentral describes it as "partial 16S ribosomal RNA". It matches the Rfam family "Bacterial small subunit ribosomal RNA", at positions 15 to 263 of the family's 1533-position model. The record is from RNAcentral.